This 2616-nucleotide ribosomal RNA is filed under the name Klebsiella quasipneumoniae subsp. similipneumoniae. RNAcentral's name for it is "bacterial LSU rRNA". It matches the Rfam family "Bacterial large subunit ribosomal RNA". Lineage: Bacteria; Pseudomonadati; Pseudomonadota; Gammaproteobacteria; Enterobacterales; Enterobacteriaceae. The record is from RNAcentral.
GUUAACGAGGCGAACCGGGGGAACUGAAACAUCUAAGUACCCCGAGGAAAAGAAAUCAACCGAGAUUCCCCCAGUAGCGGCGAGCGAACGGGGAGCAGCCCAGAGUCUGAAUCAGCUUGUGUGUUAGUGGAACGGUCUGGAAAGUCCGACGGUACAGGGUGAUAGUCCCGUACACCAAAAUGCACAGGCUGUGAACUCGAAGAGUAGGGCGGGACACGUGGUAUCCUGUCUGAAUAUGGGGGGACCAUCCUCCAAGGCUAAAUACUCCUGACUGACCGAUAGUGAACCAGUACCGUGAGGGAAAGGCGAAAAGAACCCCGGCGAGGGGAGUGAAAAAGAACCUGAAACCGUGUACGUACAAGCAGUGGGAGCACCUUCGGGUGUGACUGCGUACCUUUUGUAUAAUGGGUCAGCGACUUAUAUUCUGUAGCAAGGUUAACCGUAUAGGGGAGCCGCAGGGAAACCGAGUCUUAACUGGGCGUUAAGUUGCAGGGUAUAGACCCGAAACCCGGUGAUCUAGCCAUGGGCAGGUUGAAGGUUGGGUAACACUAACUGGAGGACCGAACCGACUAAUGUUGAAAAAUUAGCGGAUGACUUGUGGCUGGGGGUGAAAGGCCAAUCAAACCGGGAGAUAGCUGGUUCUCCCCGAAAGCUAUUUAGGUAGCGCCUCGUGAACUCAUCUUCGGGGGUAGAGCACUGUUUCGGCUAGGGGGUCAUCCCGACUUACCAACCCGAUGCAAACUACGAAUACCGAAGAAUGUUAUCACGGGAGACACACGGCGGGUGCUAACGUCCGUCGUGAAGAGGGAAACAACCCAGACCGCCAGCUAAGGUCCCAAAGUCAUGGUUAAGUGGGAAACGAUGUGGGAAGGCACAGACAGCCAGGAUGUUGGCUUAGAAGCAGCCAUCAUUUAAAGAAAGCGUAAUAGCUCACUGGUCGAGUCGGCCUGCGCGGAAGAUGUAACGGGGCUAAACCAUGCACCGAAGCUGCGGCAGCGACACUAUGUGUUGUUGGGUAGGGGAGCGUUCUGUAAGCCUGCGAAGGUGACCUGUGAGGGUUGCUGGAGGUAUCAGAAGUGCGAAUGCUGACAUAAGUAACGAUAAAGCGGGUGAAAAGCCCGCUCGCCGGAAGACCAAGGGUUCCUGUCCAACGUUAAUCGGGGCAGGGUGAGUCGACCCCUAAGGCGAGGCCGAAAGGCGUAGUCGAUGGGAAACAGGUUAAUAUUCCUGUACUUGGUGUUACUGCGAAGGGGGGACGGAGAAGGCUAUGUUAGCCGGGCGACGGUUGUCCCGGUUUAAGCAUGUAGGCUGGUUAUCCAGGCAAAUCCGGAUAAUCAAGGCUGAGGUGUGAUGACGAGGCACUACGGUGCUGAAGUAACAAAUGCCCUGCUUCCAGGAAAAGCCUCUAAGCAUCAGGUAACAUCAAAUCGUACCCCAAACCGACACAGGUGGUCAGGUAGAGAAUACCAAGGCGCUUGAGAGAACUCGGGUGAAGGAACUAGGCAAAAUGGUGCCGUAACUUCGGGAGAAGGCACGCUGGUGUGUAGGUGAAGCCCCUGCGGGUGGAGCUGAGACCAGUCGAAGAUACCAGCUGGCUGCAACUGUUUAUUAAAAACACAGCACUGUGCAAACACGAAAGUGGACGUAUACGGUGUGACGCCUGCCCGGUGCCGGAAGGUUAAUUGAUGGGGUUAUCCGUAAGGAGAAGCUCUUGAUCGAAGCCCCGGUAAACGGCGGCCGUAACUAUAACGGUCCUAAGGUAGCGAAAUUCCUUGUCGGGUAAGUUCCGACCUGCACGAAUGGCGUAAUGAUGGCCAGGCUGUCUCCACCCGAGACUCAGUGAAAUUGAACUCGCUGUGAAGAUGCAGUGUACCCGCGGCAAGACGGAAAGACCCCGUGAACCUUUACUAUAGCUUGACACUGAACAUUGAGCCUUGAUGUGUAGGAUAGGUGGGAGGCUUUGAAGCGUGGACGCCAGUCUGCGUGGAGCCAACCUUGAAAUACCACCCUUUAAUGUUUGAUGUUCUAACGUUGGCCCCUUAUCGGGGUUGCGGACAGUGUCUGGUGGGUAGUUUGACUGGGGCGGUCUCCUCCCAAAGCGUAACGGAGGAGCACGAAGGUUAGCUAAUCCUGGUCGGACAUCAGGAGGUUAGUGCAAUGGCAUAAGCUAGCUUGACUGCGAGCGUGACGGCGCGAGCAGGUGCGAAAGCAGGUCAUAGUGAUCCGGUGGUUCUGAAUGGAAGGGCCAUCGCUCAACGGAUAAAAGGUACUCCGGGGAUAACAGGCUGAUACCGCCCAAGAGUUCAUAUCGACGGCGGUGUUUGGCACCUCGAUGUCGGCUCAUCACAUCCUGGGGCUGAAGUAGGUCCCAAGGGUAUGGCUGUUCGCCAUUUAAAGUGGUACGCGAGCUGGGUUUAGAACGUCGUGAGACAGUUCGGUCCCUAUCUGCCGUGGGCGCUGGAGAAUUGAGGGGGGCUGCUCCUAGUACGAGAGGACCGGAGUGGACGCAUCACUGGUGUUCGGGUUGUCAUGCCAAUGGCACUGCCCGGUAGCUAAAUGCGGAAGAGAUAAGUGCUGAAAGCAUCUAAGCACGAAACUUGCCCCGAGAUGAGUUCU